UUACGGCCAUAUCACGUUGAAAUAUCAGUUUCCGUACGAUCACCGAAGUUAAGCCACGUCGAGCCUGGUCAGUACCUAGCUGGAUAACUGCUUGCAAAUACUGGCUGUUGUA
Molecule: non-coding RNA, 112 nt
Organism: Acanthosepion pharaonis
Lineage: Eukaryota; Metazoa; Mollusca; Cephalopoda; Sepiida; Sepiidae
Source: the annotation of a GenBank genome assembly